GUGGGGAAUUUUGGACAAUGGGCGCAAGCCUGAUCCAGCAAUGCCGCGUGCAGGAAGAAGGCCUUCGGGUUGUAAACUGCUUUUGUACGGAACGAAAAGGCUCUGGCUAAUACCUGGAGCUCAUGACGGUACCGUAAGAAUAAGCACCGGCUAACUACGUGCCAGCAGCCGCGGUAAUACGUAGGGUGCGAGCGUUAAUCGGAAUUACUGGGCGUAAAGCGUGCGCAGGCGGUGCUGUAAGACAGGCGUGAAAUCCCCGGGCUUAACCUGGGAAUUGCGCUUGUGACUGCAGUGCUGGAGUGCGGCAGAGGGGGAUGGAAUUCCGCGUGUAACAGUGAAAUGCGUAGAUAUGCGGAGGAACACCGAUGGCGAAGGCAAUCCCCUGGGCCUGCACUGACGCUCAUGCACGAAAGCGUGGGGAGCAAACAGGAUUAGAUACCCGAGUAGUCC
RNAcentral lists this ribosomal RNA (450 nucleotides) under uncultured bacterium. Its description in RNAcentral is "partial 16S ribosomal RNA". It matches the Rfam family "Bacterial small subunit ribosomal RNA", at positions 354 to 796 of the family's 1533-position model. The record is from RNAcentral.